Molecule: ribosomal RNA, 451 nt
Filed under: uncultured bacterium
Lineage: Bacteria
Description: bacterial SSU rRNA
Rfam family: Bacterial small subunit ribosomal RNA
Source: RNAcentral
GUGGGGAAUAUUGGACAAUGGGGGGAACCCUGAUCCAGCCAUGCCGCGUGUGUGAAGAAGGCCUUUUGGUUGUAAAGCACUUUAAGCGAGGAGGAGGCUACUGAGACUAAUACUCUUGGAUAGUGGACGUUACUCGCAGAAUAAGCACCGGCUAACUCUGUGCCAGCAGCCGCGGUAAUACAGAGGGUGCGAGCGUUAAUCGGAUUUACUGGGCGUAAAGCGUGCGUAGGCGGCUUUUUAAGUCGGAUGUGAAAUCCCCGAGCUUAACUUGGGAAUUGCAUUCGAUACUGGGAAGCUAGAGUAUGGGAGAGGAUGGUAGAAUUCCAGGUGUAGCGGUGAAAUGCGUAGAGAUCUGGAGGAAUACCGAUGGCGAAGGCAGCCAUCUGGCCUAAUACUGACGCUGAGGUACGAAAGCAUGGGGAGCAAACAGGAUUAGAAACCCGGGUAGUCC